CCUUUUUGGAAUGGAGACAGCAGAGAGUUGCUGGUCCUGUGAUCCUCCUGGGACAGUAAAGCCACACAGGGCAGCAAGAGCAGCCUUUCUGUUGCCGGAGAUAUUCUGUGGGUAUUGAUUCGGCUCCCUCUGACUUACUUACAAUGAGCUCCCAACACAAUCGAAGUGAUGUAUAAAACCGUGAGGCUGGAGCUUCGGCCAAGCAGAGGCAGUAUGCAAUACAUAAAAGCUGGAAGCCCCCCUUCCCCCCCCCCCCCCCCGCCGCGCUUCUGUGACACUUCCAGCUGGAAGAUGAAUCGGAGCCACACAUUCCAGCUCUGCUUGGGUAGCACGGAAAUAUGCAAGCUGCAAUCAUCUAGGUAUGCUCACUACAGCUAAAGUGGUGCUGUGGUGCCAGUGCCACGUGCCGCGAAGGCUGCCAGCGAGCAUUUUUUCCAAGGACCGAUUAUUGGGAAAUUCAGCCUUUCCUCCUCUCGCUCCCCAACCAUUCAUGGAAAGGUUGCCAUGUGCCAGGAAGCCCGACUAUUUCAGUCAGUCAUGAAGCCAUCUAAGCACAGGUGUUGGAAGAGGUCAGCCUUUGAGCCGUGAUUUAAUACUUAAAGAAGCCUGACCAGACUUGGAACUGAAGCACCUUAAGGACAAAAGAAAGACUUGCUGAGCUCGCUCACAGACCUUCUAGAGCAGCGCUGGGCUCAUGGAUCUGGAGAUUAUGGACAGAAGAUAAUGUAGAUGUUAUAACCAGGCCAGCGUCCUGUGGUAAAGGGUGUCUUUAGAUCACUGUUUCGUCGGUAUAGGUAAAUGACAUGAAGAACAUCUUUAUAGGCAGGGGAUGAGAAUCUGAGAUGAAGAAAAGAGGCUCCCCUGAUGGACCAUUCUAAGCUACUGUCAGAAGCAGGAUCCAUAGAACUUAAGGACAUGAUUGCAACAAUUAUCAGACAUUGGCCUCUUAGGUCAUGGUGAUCUUUUAGUAUUUUGGCUUUCUGCUGUCCUUUCAUAAAGGAACCUCAUUUUUAGCUUCUAUUGAAGAUAUAAAAUCAUCUCAUAGUAUUUUCUCAUUACUAGGAGCUGUAAAUCACUUCAAAGCUGUCUUUCUCCUUGAUCAUUUGCAUAUCAAAGUAUUUCUCUUGAGUACGGUGAUCUCUCCCCCUGUGGUUUGCUGUGUACCAGUUCUCUCUGGAUCCUAGGGCCUAGGGAAGUGUGGAUUCCAAGUGACUGGUGUUUUUCUACAGUAGAGCUUUUUUGUUGGCUCUUACCUGGGAGGACAAUGGGGAAGGGCCAGGGCCAUCCUGUUCUUUGCUGGGUGUGACCUUUCCUGCUCUGCUUCAGGGUUCCAUGCUGAAACCACCUUUAGCCAUCAUCGAGUGGGACUCCUUUUUACAUUUUGGUGAUUUCAAUAUUGUUUUUGUAUGGGUUUUGAGUUUCAGUCCUAAAUCUGUGUGGUGUGACAGAGGGAACCUCUACACAAAGGCCUGCCAAUCUGCAACCUCUUCAUGCUGCCACUGGUUAGAUCAACAGUUCACUCUAGACACUGAACCUUGCCUGCAUGCGUGCUAGUGUCACCACCAACAUCAGUAUCACUGUGCACCAGCAUCAGCAUCACUGUGCACCAGCAUCAGCAUCACUGUGUAUCAGCAUCAGCAUCACUGUGCACCAGCAUCAGCAUCACUGUGCACCAGCAUCAGCAUCACUGUGUAUCAGCAUCAGCAUCACUGUGCACCAGCAUCAGCAUCACUGUGUACCAGCAUCAGCAUCACUGUGCACCAGCAUCAGCAUCACUGUGUACCAGCAUCAGCAUCACUGUGUACCAGCAUCAGCAUCACUGUGUAUCAGCAUCAGCAUCACUGUGCACCAGCAUCAGCAUCACUGUGCACCAGCAUCAGCAUCACUGUGUAUCAGCAUCAGCAUCACUGUGCACCAGCAUCAGCAUCACUGUGCACCAGCAUCAGCAUGACUGUGUACCAGCAUCAGCAUCACUGUGCACCAGCAUCAGUAUCACUGUGUACCAGCAUCAGCAUCACUGUGCACCAGCAUCAGUAUCACUGUGCACAGCUCAAUCUCCAUACGUCAAUCGCCAGAUCGGUCCAAAAGUGUCUUGUCUGUGUGUAUUUUCUCCCACUUUACCACUCCACUCUGGCUUAAGCCUUCCCACCUGCUACUGUGUACUGUGUGGUUGCUGGCUUUGGGAACUCCCAAACUUUCCCUCUGUAUUUCAUGUUUCUGUUGGCCUGACAAGUAUCUCUUUCUAAAAAAGUACUAGUUUAUUUUAUGUGA
Molecule: long non-coding RNA, 2271 nt
Filed under: Mus musculus (house mouse)
Lineage: Eukaryota; Metazoa; Chordata; Mammalia; Rodentia; Muridae
Description: long non-coding RNA, embryonic stem cells expressed 1
Source: RNAcentral